RNAcentral lists this small RNA (1518 nucleotides) under uncultured Arctic sea ice bacterium. Its description in RNAcentral is "bacterial SSU rRNA". The stretch from base 1 to 994 matches the Rfam family "Bacterial small subunit ribosomal RNA", at positions 528 to 1533 of the family's 1533-position model. The record is from RNAcentral.
AAGGGACCUAGCGUAGUUCGGAAUUACUGGGCUUAAAGAGUUCGUAGGUGGUUGAAAAGGUUGGUGGUGAAAUCCCAGAGCUUAACUCUGGAACUGCCAUCAAAACUUUUCAGCUAGAGUAUGAUAGAGGAAAGCAGAAUUUCUAGUGUAGAGGUGAAAUUCGUAGAUAUUAGAAAGAAUACCAACUGCGAAGGCAGCUUUCUGGAUCAUUACUGACACUGAGGAACGAAAGCAUGGGUAGCGAAGAGGAUUAGAUACCCUCGUAGUCCAUGCCGUAAACGAUGUGUGUUAGACGUUGGAAAUUUAUUUUCAGUGUCGCAGGGAAACCGAUAAACACACCGCCUGGGGAGUACGACCGCAAGGUUAAAACUCAAAUGAAUUGACGGGGACCCGCACAAGUAGUGGAGCAUGUGGUUUAAUUCGAAGAUACGCGCAGAACCUUACCAACACUUGACAUGUUCGUCGCGACUCUAAGAGAUUAGAGUUUUCGGUUCGGCCGGACGAAACACAGGUGCUGCAUGGCUGUCGUCAGCUCGUGUCGUGAGAUGUUGGGUUAAGUCCCGCAACGAGCGCAACCCUCACUUUUAGUUGCCAUCAUUAAGUUGGGCACUCUGAAAGAACUGCCAGUGAUAAGCUGGAGGAAGGUGGGGAUGACGUCAAGUCCUCAUGGCCCUUACGUGUUGGGCUACACACGUGCUACAAUGGCAUCUACAACAGGAAGCAAAACGGCAACGUUAAGCAAAUCCCGAAAAGAUGCCUCAGUUCGGAUUGCACUCUGCAACUCGAGUGCAUGAAGCUGGAAUUACUAGUAAUCGUGGAUCAGCGUGCCACGGUGAAUGCGUUCCCGGGUCUUGUACACACCGCCCGUCACACCAUGGGAGUUGGUUCUACCUUAAGGCAAGGUUUUAAACCCUUGACCACGGUAUAGUCAGCGACUGGGGUGAAGUCGUAACAAGGUAGCCGUAGGGGAACCUGCGGCUGGAUUACCUCCUUUCUAAGGAUGAGUGAAAGAGAAAAAUUUCACUCUAAAUAAUAUACAUCGGUAAUGUUGACCGUCCUCAUUUCUCUUCUUGAAGUAAUGUUUCCUUCUUAUAGGGCCGGUAGCUCAGUUGGUUAGAGCACACCCUUGAUAAGGGUGGGGUCGAAAGUUCGAGUCUUUCUCGGCCCACCAAACUUAAAUGGGGGAUUAGCUCAUCUGGGAGAGCGCCUGAUUUGCAUUCAGGAGGUAGCAGGUUCGAUCCCUGUAUCCUCCACCAGGAAACAUUUAGUUAUUAAAACUGUAAAUAAAAAUAAUUUAUAUCAAUAUCUAUAUCCGAACAUUAAAAGUUAUUAAUUAAUGUUCAAAAUAAAAAUUUGAUCACAUCAUAGAUAAAUUUUCUUUAGAAAGAAUUUUUUUCUGUGCAUAAAUCAAGUGUUUAAGGGCGUGUAGUGGAUGCCUUGGCACUGAAAGCCGAUGAAGGACGUGAUAUACUGCGAUAAGUUUCGGGGAGCUGUAUGUAAGCUUUGAUCCGGAAAUUU